UAUGAUGAUGGCUUAACUUGGGCUCAGAGG
Molecule: non-coding RNA, 30 nt
Filed under: Homo sapiens (human)
Lineage: Eukaryota; Metazoa; Chordata; Mammalia; Primates; Hominidae
Source: RNAcentral